RNAcentral lists this long non-coding RNA (1317 nucleotides) under Homo sapiens (human). RNAcentral describes it as "HSALNT0107044". Lineage: Eukaryota; Metazoa; Chordata; Mammalia; Primates; Hominidae. The record is from RNAcentral.
CUUCUGAUAAUAUUCUUUUUUCCAUUAUCUCUAAAAACAGAAACUCAAAAAUAUACCAACUGACAACUGAAAGGAAGCUUGAUGUCAUAAUUCACAACCAUGCUUCGCAUCAUUAAAUCCCAUUCUUCUCAUCUGCUCAUCCAUUUGUUAUCUGACCAGGUAUCAUGUUGGGCAACCUGGUUUCCAAAAAAAAGAUUAGAAUUGCUUUCCCCACACGUCAGAAUAAAACUGCUAACGGAAUAGAGAACAGCCAUUUAGCUACUGAGAGAAAUCUUCUCUUAUGGACAUCAUACAGAUGCCCUGCUGGGGACAAAUCCAAUUGAGAGCUACAGAAUCAGUCUGGAAAACACACCCAUCCAAAACUGUUUGCGGAGAUCAGGAUGUGCUAAAAGAGGAAACUACUAGAAAAAAGACUUCACAAGCAUAUCAAAACAUAAAGCAAUAGUUCUACUUAAACAGAUAAGGAGUUUUCUUAGUUUGUGAUGGAAACUCCCAACCCUGUUAUGCUAAUUAAAAUUUACUGGAGAGCAAGGAAAGGCAAUGAUACUGCGAGCAAGUAGUGCCCAGAGACCCUUAAGAAUAUAAGCAUGAUGACAGAGGUUGAGAGAAGGAGGCAAUGAGUGCCUUCAAGGUAACAGAAUAGGUGUGUCAUGGAAAAUGGUCUGAAGCAAGUGUAUGACUAGAAUUUUUCUUCAAACCAUGAAGGGCUAGCAGGCCUCUGUGGGGCUUUCAAUAUCCACAGGUAAAAUAGAAGAGGUCUCCAGUUUUCCAAAGCCUCAAGCUGAGCUCACAUAUUCUGGUCUUUCCUGGGGGGUUGUUUAUUAUACUAUUAUCUCUACUUCUUCUUCAAUUUGAUUCUUUUUCUUUCUCUGCCUUUUCUUACCACUUCAGUUCUUUCAAUUCUACACCCAAGCAGUUUUUCCUCCCUAUAAUCCAGACCUGUGCCAGAAAGACCCCCAACUGAACACCAUCCACUCCCCAGCCCCCACCACCAGCUCAAUGCUCUACUUUUUUCUUUCAGGGAAUAACUUGAUUGCUGGGUAAAAAGACUGCAAUAAAUAAUAGAGCAGAAAAGAACUACUUAUUGGAAUGUUAGCUAUUCAGGCACUGAGAUUCUAUGUUUACUUUUCACUUUUCUCAUCCUAAACAUAUUUGUGAAAACCCAAUUGUGUGAACAGUUUUCUACCUUCCUUUGAGGUGGGCCAGCCCCAAAUUAAACAGCCAAAUAUCCUAAAUACCCCCUCCUCUCACCAUGUCUACAGAGCCCAAAUCAGGUAAUUAUAAAAUUAGAAUGAACAAAGGUGAACAUGGUAAUGC